Molecule: ribosomal RNA, 301 nt
Filed under: uncultured bacterium
Lineage: Bacteria
Description: partial 16S ribosomal RNA
Rfam family: Bacterial small subunit ribosomal RNA
Source: RNAcentral
CAGUCGCCGCGGUAAUACGUAGGGUGCGAGCGUUAAUCGGAAUUACUGGGCGUAAAGCGUGCGCAGGCGGUUGUGCAAGACAGAUGUGAAAUCCCCGAGCUUAACUUGGGAACUGCAUUUGUGACUGCACGGCUAGAGUGUGUCAGAGGGGGGUAGAAUUCCAUGUGUAGCAGUGAAAUGCGUAGAUAUGUGGAGGAAUACCGAUGGCGAAGGCAGCCCCCUGGGAUAACACUGACGCUCAUGCACGAAAGCGUGGGGAGCAAACAGGAUUAGAUACCCGGGUAGUCCCUGUCUCUUAUAA